Molecule: non-coding RNA, 1092 nt
Organism: Spodoptera litura
Lineage: Eukaryota; Metazoa; Arthropoda; Insecta; Lepidoptera; Noctuidae
Source: RefSeq, a predicted model, not a curated record
GCAAAAUAUUUGACAUUGACAUUUUACUUUUGAAUUGCCAAAUUUGUCAAUGUCAAUAUCGAAUGUUUUCGUUUUACUUCGCCUCAAUUUUAGUGUUUCAACCAGCCAGCGUAUUAUUGUGGCGUAGUUUUACUAAUUUAUCAAUUAAUUCUGAAUUAUUGUGAGUGCGUGUAGCUGUGAAGCGGUAUUAAUACAUUGGUGAUCAUAACCUGUUUGAGUUCAAAUAUGUUGGACGGUAGCCUGAUGGAUAUGGUGAUCACUACAGUAGGCGUUCUAUUGACCAUGGCUUUGCUAAGCUGUUUAUGCUGCAUUUGUAUGAAAUUCAGUGACCUGAAGUUGAAGAGCUACGUAAUAGAAAUGGCGAAGAAAAGAGGUGUUAAAAUGGAUGUUGAUAAACUUGAACAUAAGUACAAAACUUGCCAAUCACCACACUUAAAUGAAAACUGUACUAUUGUGGUACCCGACGUAGUUUAUGUGCUUUAGCUUGGUACCUGCGUUAUAACAAACAUCUGGACUAUAUGGAAGCUACAUAAGAAAAGGCUCAAGUCCAAUAUCAUGUUCAUGGUGAGUUCCAUAACUGAUCUAGCCUUACAACUUCCAACUGGCCAAAAACUCUUCAUGUUCAAUGAUGGGCUACCAGUUCGACUGAUUCAUUUAUAAUUUUAGCUGUUUUAAUAUUUCAGUGUCAUCAAAAUUGGUUAUAGAAAAUGAAAUAUAUGUGUACUCGUUAAUUUAUGUAGUUGGAGAUGUGAUGAUGGGAUUUGUAGAUAAGCAAUUGGGGUUUUGAAAGGACUUUAGAUAAGUAUUUGUUUGUGCUAGACAUGGCGAAGUAACAGGCCUAUUUCAUUCAAAUUUGUUCCGUCUGAUUUCAAAUAUGCAGUCUAAUGGUGUUCAAUUAUUGCCAAGAAUUUUGUAUAAAAUGUAAAAUAUAGUAAUUAUAUUUUAGUCCUCUAAAGGCUCAUUUCAAUUCAUACAUUAAUUAAAUAAUUGAUUUAAGUAUGUAUCAUUUUUGAAGUAUUAAUUUUGAUAUGUGAAGUAUAAUAAGUUCAAAUCAUACCAUGACUUUAUUUGUAUUUGACAUAUUUUAUACAA